RNAcentral lists this unclassified non-coding RNA (263 nucleotides) under plant metagenome. RNAcentral describes it as "partial contains small subunit ribosomal RNA, internal transcribed spacer 1, and 5.8S ribosomal RNA". The record is from RNAcentral.
UUUCCGUAGGUGAACCUGCGGAGGGAUCAUUAUUGUAUAACCGAAGUGCGAGGGCUGUUGCUGACACGGAAGGUUGUCCACGCCCGAUUGCCCCCGCACACAUCCAUCUCGCCCCGAGGCGCACCACCGCGCGCGUCCCGCUUUGGCUUGGUCGGAGGGGGGCUUACGUUUUCUCAGAAGAUUGGUAUGCAGUGUAGAAUGUAGUUUUUGUUUUUGCCUUCUCGAAAUCAAUACAACUUUCAACAACGGAUCUCUUGGCUCUC